This 67-nucleotide transfer RNA is filed under the name Melanomys caliginosus (dusky rice rat). RNAcentral describes it as "tRNA-Pro". It matches the Rfam family "tRNA". From Rfam's summary of the family: Transfer RNA (tRNA) molecules are approximately 80 nucleotides in length. Their secondary structure includes four short double-helical elements and three loops (D, anti-codon, and T loops). Lineage: Eukaryota; Metazoa; Chordata; Mammalia; Rodentia; Cricetidae. The record is from RNAcentral.
CAAGAAGUAAUUUAAUGGAGAAUGUCAGCUUUGGGUGCUGGUAGUGGGAAUUAUUUCUCCUUCUUGA